AUUUUGAUUGGAUUGUUUAAUAGGGUCGAUUUGAUGGUUGAAAAAGCUUCAGAGGUCAUGGAUUCAGAGUAAUCAUCAUCACAAUCGGAGAUUGGGUCAGCAGAGGAUGUGGUACAGGCAUUGCUGGACUACUUGGUUGCUCCUAUGUUGCCUUUGAAGUCCGCUGGCUGUGAAGUUCCUUCUCUUGAGCAACAACAAUCGGUCGCCAAACAGGUUGGUGCAAUUGUUUUAUACACCUAUGUUUAUCAGAUGCUUGACCCCCUCCUGAAGGUACCUUCGACAUUGAGGACAUAAAUCUUCCCAUCAAGUACACUGCCAAGGAUAGCACUCCAGUGGAAACUCCUUUGCUUACGGAAGAGGUGGUUCCAACAGAUUCAGAUGCUCCAAAGAAAGGAAAGUGAACAGCUGGAUAAAGUUAUGAAGAUUUGGACAACCUUCCUGGAACCGAUUAUUGGGGUUCCUUGUCGGCCUCAGGGGGCAGAGGAUGCAGAAGAUGUUGUAAAGGCUAAAAAUCAAAUUUCACAAAGUGGUGCAGCUAGUGUUGGAGAAAGUAAUGGCAAUCCAGUUGGUGGUGCAACUGUCAUUACUACCAAGGAUUCA
Molecule: non-coding RNA, 600 nt
Organism: Camellia sinensis
Lineage: Eukaryota; Viridiplantae; Streptophyta; Magnoliopsida; Ericales; Theaceae
Source: RefSeq, a predicted model, not a curated record